AAGGUGGGGAUGACGUCAAAUCAUCAUGCCCCUUAUGACCUGGGCUACACACGUGCUACAAUGGACAGAACAAAGGGCUGCGAGACCGCAAGGUUUAGCCAAUCCCAUAAAUCUGUUCUCAGUUCGGAUCGCAGUCUGCAACUCGACUGCGUGAAGCUGGAAUCGCUAGUAAUCGCGGAUCAGCAUGCCGCGGUGAAUACGUUCCCGGGCCUUGUACACACCGCCCGUCACACCACGAGAGUUUGUAACACCCGAAGUCGGUGAGGUAACCUUUAUGGAGCCAGCCGCCGAAGGUGGGACAGAUGAUUGGGGUGAAGUCGUAACAAGGUAGCCGUAUCGGAAGGUGCGGCUGGAUCACCUCCUUUCUAAGGA
Molecule: ribosomal RNA, 372 nt
Filed under: Bacillus pumilus
Lineage: Bacteria; Bacillati; Bacillota; Bacilli; Caryophanales; Bacillaceae
Description: bacterial SSU rRNA
Rfam family: Bacterial small subunit ribosomal RNA
Source: RNAcentral